Molecule: ribosomal RNA, 451 nt
Filed under: uncultured bacterium
Lineage: Bacteria
Description: bacterial SSU rRNA
Rfam family: Bacterial small subunit ribosomal RNA
Source: RNAcentral
CAGCAGUGGGGAAUAUUGCACAAUGGGCGCAAGCCUGAUGCAGCCAUGCCGCGUGUAUGAAGAAGGCCUUCGGGUUGUAAAGUACUUUCAGCAGUGAGGAAGGUGGGUAUGUUAAUAGCAUAUUCAUUUGACGUUAGCUGCAGAAGAAGCACCGGCUAACUCCGUGCCAGCAGCCGCGGUAAUACGGAGGGUGCGAGCGUUAAUCGGAAUUACUGGGCGUAAAGCGCAUGCAGGUGGUUUGUUAAGUCAGAUGUGAAAGCCCGGGGCUCAACCUCGGAAUUGCAUUUGAAACUGGCAAACUAGAGUACUGUAGAGGGGGUAGAAUUUCAGGUGUAGCGGUGAAAUGCGUAGAGAUCUGAAGGAAUACCGGUGGCGAAGGCGGCCCCCUGGACAGAUACUGACACUCAGAUGCGAAAGCGUGGGGAGCAAACAGGAUUAGAUACCCGGGUAG